This 563-nucleotide ribosomal RNA is filed under the name uncultured Sebacinales. RNAcentral's name for it is "eukaryotic LSU rRNA". It matches the Rfam family "Eukaryotic large subunit ribosomal RNA", at positions 81 to 634 of the family's 3401-position model. Lineage: Eukaryota; Fungi; Basidiomycota; Agaricomycetes; Sebacinales. The record is from RNAcentral.
UAGUAACGGCGAGUGAAGAGGGAAAAGCUCAAAUUUUGAAUCUGGUGUCUUUGACCCCCGAGUUGUAAUCUAGAGAAGUGUUUUCCGUGUCGGACCGUGUACAAGUUCCCUGGAACGGGGCGUCAUAGAGGAUGAGAAUCCCGUAUAUGCCACGGACUACCGAUACUCUGUGAUACACUCUCAACGAGUCGAGUUGUUUGGGAAUGCAGCUCAAAAUGGGUGGUAAAUUCCAUCUAAAGCUAAAUAUUGGCGAGAGACCGAUAGCGAACAAGUACCGUGAGGGAAAGAUGAAAAGCACUUUGGAAAGAGAGUGAAACAGUACGUGAAAUUGUUGAAAGGGAAGCGUUUGAAGUCAGUCGCAUCUGUUGGGAUUCAGCCUGGCUUCUGCCUGGUGUAUUUCCUUUCCGAUGGGUCAGCAUCAGUUUUGACCAAGGGAAAAAGACAUUUGGAAUGUGGCUGUCUUCGGGCAGUGUUAUAGCCUUGUGUUGUAUGUCUUGGUUGGGACUGAGGAACGCAGCGCGCCAUUUUGGCCGGGGGUCGCUCCUCUCGACACGCGCUUAGGA